GAUUGCCAAUUGGGCAUUGACAAUCCGCUAAGGUUAGUAUGUGUUGUGUUGACUCAAUCGUGAGUAUGACUAGUCUCAAGUCAUUUGGUGUUGGACACUAAGACAAACACAUAGGUGCUCGAAAGAGUAAUCAAGUACUGAACUACGAUCAAAAGAGAGUUCAAACAUACAUGUCAUGUAUGAACUCUAAAGUUACAAUAUGCAAAGUAGUCCUUUGACCUGAGGCAUCAUAGAUGUCUAAUGG
This 244-nucleotide long non-coding RNA is filed under the name Malus domestica (apple). RNAcentral's name for it is "long non-coding RNA (MDOM_LNC010559)". Lineage: Eukaryota; Viridiplantae; Streptophyta; Magnoliopsida; Rosales; Rosaceae. The record is from RNAcentral.